ACCCGCUGAACUUAAGCAUAUCAAUAAGCGGANGAAAAGAAACCAACAGGGAUUGCCCUAGUAACGGCGAGUGAAGCGGCAACAGCUCAAAUUUGAAAUCUGGCCCUCGGGUCCGAGUUGUAAUUUGUAGAGGAUGCUUUUGGUGAGGUACCUUCCGAGUUCCCUGGAACGGGACGCCAUAGAGGGUGAGAGCCCCGUCUGGUUGGAUACCGAUCCUCUGUAAAGCUCCUUCGACGAGUCGAGUAGUUUGGGAAUGCUGCUCUAAAUGGGAGGUAUAUGUCUUCUAAAGCUAAAUAUUGGCCAGAGACCGAUAGCGCACAAGUAGAGUGAUCGAAAGAUGAAAAGCACUUUGAAAAGAGAGUUAAAAAGUACGUGAAAUUGUUGAAAGGGAAGCGCUCAUGACCAGACUUGGGCUUGGUUGAUCAUCCAGGGUUCUCCCUGGUGCACUCUUCCAGCUCAGGCCAGCAUCAGUUCGCCGCGGGGGAUAAAGGCUUUGGGAAUGUGGCUCCUCCGGGAGUGUUAUAGCCCACUGCGUAAUACCCUGUAGUGGACUGAGGUUCGCGCAUCUGCAAGGAUGCUGGCGUAAUGGUCAUCAGCGACCCGUCUUGAAACACGGACCAAGGAGUCGUCUUCGUAUGCGAGUGUUCGGGUGUUAAACCCCUACGCGUAAUGAAAGUGAACGCAGGUGAGAGCUUCGGCGCAUCAUCGACCGAUCCUGAUGUUCUCGGAUGGAUUUGAGUAAGAGCAUACGGGGCCGGACCCGAAAGAAGGUGAACUAUGCCUGUAUAGGGUGAAGCCAGAGGAAACUCUGGUGGAGGCUCGCAGCGGUUCUGACGUGCAAAUCGAUCGUCAAA
Molecule: ribosomal RNA, 854 nt
Filed under: fungal sp. mh3328.4
Lineage: Eukaryota; Fungi
Description: eukaryotic LSU rRNA
Rfam family: Eukaryotic large subunit ribosomal RNA
Source: RNAcentral